This 1462-nucleotide ribosomal RNA is filed under the name metagenome. RNAcentral describes it as "bacterial SSU rRNA". It matches the Rfam family "Bacterial small subunit ribosomal RNA". The record is from RNAcentral.
AGAGUUUGAUCAUGGCUCAGGACGAACGCUGGCGGCGCGCCUAACACAUGCAAGUCGAACGAGCGAGAGAGAGCUUGCUUUCUCGAGCGAGUGGCGAACGGGUGAGUAACGCGUGAGGAACCUGCCUCAGAGAGGGGGACAACAGUUGGAAACGACUGCUAAUACCGCAUAAGCCCACGACCCGGCAUCGGGUAGAGGGAAAAGGAGCAAUCCGCUUUGAGAUGGCCUCGCGUCCGAUUAGCUAGUUGGUGAGGUAACGGCCCACCAAGGCGACGAUCGGUAGCCGGACUGAGAGGUUGAACGGCCACAUUGGGACUGAGACACGGCCCAGACUCCUACGGGAGGCAGCAGUGGGGAAUAUUGCACAAUGGGGGAAACCCUGAUGCAGCGACGCCGCGUGGAGGAAGAAGGUCUUCGGAUUGUAAACUCCUGUUGUUGAGGAAGAUAAUGACGGUACUCAACAAGGAAGUGACGGCUAACUACGUGCCAGCAGCCGCGGUAAAACGUAGGUCACAAGCGUUGUCCGGAAUUACUGGGUGUAAAGGGAGCGCAGGCGGGAAGACAAGUUGGAAGUGAAAUCCAUGGGCUCAACCCAUGAACUGCUUUCAAAACUGUUUUUCUUGAGUAGUGCAGAGGUAGGCGGAAUUCCCGGUGUAGCGGUGGAAUGCGUAGAUAUCGGGAGGAACACCAGUGGCGAAGGCGGCCUACUGGGCACCAACUGACGCUGAGGCUCGAAAGUGUGGGUAGCAAACAGGAUUAGAUACCCUGGUAUUCCACGCCGUAAACGAUGAUGGCUAACCGCCGGCGACACACUGUCGGUGGCCAAGCGAAAGCGAUAAGCCAUCCACCUGGGGAGUACGUCGGCAACGAUGAAACUCAAAGGAAUUGACGGGGGCCCGCACAAGCGGAGGAACAUGUGGUUUAAUUCGAUGAUACGCGAGGAACCUUACCCGGGCUCGAACGGCACCUGGAUCGCCCAGAGAUGGGCGAGUCUUCGGACAGGUGUCGAGGUGCUGCAUGGUUGUCGUCAGCUCGUGCCGUGAGGUGUCGGCUCAAGUGCCAUAACGAGCGCAACCCCUGCCGCCAGUUGCCAUCAGGUGAUGCUGGGCACUCUGGCGGGACUGCCACCGCAAGGUGUGAGGAGGGGGGGGAUGACGUCAAAUCAGCACGGCCCUUACGUCCGGGGCGACACACGUGUUACAAUGGCGGCCACAGAGGGAAGCUACCCCGCGAGGGGAUGCGGAUCUCGAAAAGCCGUCCCAGUUCGGACUGGAGUCUGCAACCCGACUCCACGAAGUUGGAUUCGCUAGUAAUCGCGCAUCAGCCAUGGCGCGGUGAAUACGUUCCCGGGCCUUGUACACACCGCCCGUCAAGCCAUGGAAGCCGCGGGCGCCUGAAGUCCGUGACCGUAAGGAGCGGCCUAGGGCGAAAGUGGUAACUGGGGCUAAGUCGUAACAAGGUA